GGAGAUUUAGCUCAGUGGUAGAGCGCAUGCCUAGCAAUCACAAGGCCCUGGGUUCGGUCCCCAGCUCCA
RNAcentral lists this transfer RNA (69 nucleotides) under Rattus norvegicus (Norway rat). It matches the Rfam family "tRNA". From Rfam's summary of the family: Transfer RNA (tRNA) molecules are approximately 80 nucleotides in length. Their secondary structure includes four short double-helical elements and three loops (D, anti-codon, and T loops). The record is from Rfam by way of RNAcentral. Lineage: Eukaryota; Metazoa; Chordata; Mammalia; Rodentia; Muridae.